Bos taurus (domestic cattle) is the source of this 780-nucleotide long non-coding RNA. The record is from Ensembl. Lineage: Eukaryota; Metazoa; Chordata; Mammalia; Artiodactyla; Bovidae.
GAACUAUUCCCUGUUAUUCCUUAGCUCCUUGAAAUCAGCAUGCUAUGUCAGAUUCCAAGAAUCGAAUCAUUGCUUCCGCGACGAAGGUGGGACUCCCAAGGGCCACACGCCGCAGAACUAAAGAAAAUAGGGCAAUUAAAUACUCGCUGUAAACCUGUACAGUGUUCCUGGGCACUCGGCCGCAGGUUUUUUUACAAUAAUUUCCCGCACUAGUUUUCUUAUGACUUCACUAAAGCUAUACCAAAUCCCUAGACUCUGGGCCGUACGUGCGGGCAGGGUGGCCUGAUGCCUGGGUCCCCCGCGCCCGCCGCUCGUCGGCCCUGUCCCCUUGGAGGGGUCGACACUUCCUCCUGCCUUAAGCCGGCCCCCUCUGCCAGACUCCUACUUCUCUUCGGCCUCGGCCCCUCCUCUUUUUUACAACCCGGAGAGGGGGUGAGCGGGGAUUGUGGCUUCACGUGGUCUGAGUGUGCGGAGAGAAAAGCAAUCCGCGAGGCGCACCCAUUUCUUGCCCCAUUCCGAACCCCACAUUUAGGAUCCUGCUACCUAAAAGGCCCCCGCCAAACCCAGCAUUUUCAGCCCAAGGAGGGCUAAACACGACUCGGGGUCACGUCUCUCUCCGCGGAGGCAGUACUCUUAUUCUCAGGCUCUCCAUGCAAAAGCUCUGCCCGGUGUGCCCUUCUGUUCAGGAAUGUGUAUUUUAGUGUACCCGGAAGAGGAACAAAUCUUUGAAGCAAAUUCCCUUUCUGAUGCGCUUCUCUACCCCCUCCCCCUAGUGAAUUC